UGCAGUCGAGCGACAGAAGGGAGCUUGCUCCCGGAUGUUAGCGGCGGACGGGUGAGUAACACGUGGGUAACCUGCCUGUAAGACUGGGAUAACUCCGGGAAACCGGAGCUAAUACCGGAUAGUUCCUUGAACCGCAUGGUUCAAGGAUGAAAGACGGUUUCGGCUGUCACUUACAGAUGGACCCGCGGCGCAUUAGCUAGUUGGUGGGGUAAUGGCUCACCAAGGCGACGAUGCGUAGCCGACCUGAGAGGGUGAUCGGCCACACUGGGACUGAGACACGGCCCAGACUCCUACGGGAGGCAGCAGUAGGGAAUCUUCCGCAAUGGACGAAAGUCUGACGGAGCAACGCCGCGUGAGUGAUGAAGGUUUUCGGAUCGUAAAGCUCUGUUGUUAGGGAAGAACAAGUGCGAGAGUAACUGCUCGCACCUUGACGGUACCUAACCAGAAAGCCACGGCUAACUACGUGCCAGCAGCCGCGGUAAUACGUAGGUGGCAAGCGUUGUCCGGAAUUAUUGGGCGUAAAGGGCUCGCAGGCGGUUUCUUAAGUCUGAUGUGAAAGCCCCCGGCUCAACCGGGGAGGGUCAUUGGAAACUGGGAAACUUGAGUGCAGAAGAGGAGAGUGGAAUUCCACGUGUAGCGGUGAAAUGCGUAGAGAUGUGGAGGAACACCAGUGGCGAAGGCGACUCUCUGGUCUGUAACUGACGCUGAGGAGCGAAAGCGUGGGGAGCGAACAGGAUUAGAUACCCUGGUAGUCCACGCCGUAAACGAUGAGUGCUAAGUGUUAGGGGGUUUCCGCCCCUUAGUGCUGCAGCUAACGCAUUAAGCACUCCGCCUGGGGAGUACGGUCGCAAGACUGAAACUCAAAGGAAUUGACGGGGGCCCGCACAAGCGGUGGAGCAUGUGGUUUAAUUCGAAGCAACGCGAAGAACCUUACCAGGUCUUGACAUCCUCUGACAACCCUAGAGAUAGGGCUUUCCCUUCGGGGACAGAGUGACAGGUGGUGCAUGGUUGUCGUCAGCUCGUGUCGUGAGAUGUUGGGUUAAGUCCCGCAACGAGCGCAACCCUUGAUCUUAGUUGCCAGCAUUUAGUUGGGCACUCUAAGGUGACUGCCGGUGACAAACCGGAGGAAGGUGGGGAUGACGUCAAAUCAUCAUGCCCCUUAUGACCUGGGCUACACACGUGCU
This 1184-nucleotide ribosomal RNA is filed under the name Bacillus pumilus. RNAcentral describes it as "bacterial SSU rRNA". It matches the Rfam family "Bacterial small subunit ribosomal RNA", at positions 56 to 1226 of the family's 1533-position model. Lineage: Bacteria; Bacillati; Bacillota; Bacilli; Caryophanales; Bacillaceae. The record is from RNAcentral.